UUCGCUACUUCUUCCCUCUCUCUCCUCAACUCAUUGUUCAUCCUUUCCACCGCUUCAAUCUUGGUCUCAUGUUUUAUUCCCUUUUAAUUUUCUUCUCUCGCGGUUUUGUUGCUUCCUUUCCACCGCUUCAAUCUUUCUCCAACUGGCUACAGACUCCAUCAAACCCUAGAACGAGAAAUCUUAAAUCCACAACCCAAAAUUCAGUCAUAUUUACCCAACGAAGGUAGAUUAAUAGAAGAAAGAUUGCUCCAUCAGAGCGGGCAAGAUGGCUAGAUGAGUAUAAUCCAUUUAACUUGGUCAGACGACACUGCUGUGAGAAACACCUGUUUGUGGAUGAGAUAGUCUACCAAAAGAGGAGGGAAGGCAACCCAGAAGGAUGAAUUAGAGGUAAAUUGUACUAAAGUAGGUUACCCUCUUCAUCUCCUCAAAUAAAUUUGACUAUCUAUCAAUUUCCUUGAAAUUAUUUUUGGUUUCAAAUUUAUAUCGAUUGCUAUGGUUUUGGAAGGGUGUAUGGAUUUGGGUAAUUUUCAUAUUAUUUUGGGAGUUUGCCCACUUGAGGUAGAGCUUUUGUAGACAGAUUUGGGCUUUAGGCCAGAGUGUUGGCUAAUCCGAAUUGUUGAAGAGGAUUUGGGGAUUGAUAUCUGAAAGGGAUGAAUCUCUUAAUUUUCCAUUGCUCUCAACCUCCGACUGCAAAAAGAGCUCAAGUUCCUCCUCACCGACCCUCCACCUACCUCCAUUGCUGCAAGCAAAGACUGUAACAAAAAUCAUUGACGCAUAAGACGAAGAGAGAGAGCGAAAGCAUGUCUAAAGGUCAUGCCGACCUUGAUCUCCGUCUUUCUUUUCAAGACGGGGUUUUGGAAACCCCUCUUGGUUAUCCUUCCCAUUCGCCAGGUCUUGGAAAUUGAUAAAGAACAAAUGGUUGAUUUACUGAGAAAAAUAAUAAAUGAACAAAAACUAAAGCUUCGAACUCAGAGAAAGAGGUGGCUGUCAUCAUUCAAAUUCAAUUUGAAAUCGUAUUUCUGAGUAUGUUGUUUUAUCAUUGAUCAGGGUUUUAUUUAAGGCAAACUUAUACAUCCCAAUGCAAAGGGAGAGAGGAGGCAAAGGUUGGCAUUGUUGAUAACUUUGUAAUGAAUGUGUGGAGACCAUGGAGCAUAUUCUCCUUCUGUGUCCUUGGGUGUCUAGAGUAUGGUUUGGGGGUCCGUUGAAUGCUCAGAUCAAUCAAAGCUCAAUUACUACUUUGGCUGAAUGAGUGUAUGGGGCGAUAAAUCAAAAUAUGGGUUGUCAGGAGGAUCUCCCUCGGUCUAUGAGAGUCUUUUAUGCAAGCCUCCGCUCCCCUGCUGUUAUCAUCCACAAUCCAAACUAGUCGUCCUUGAGGUACGCGCCUUCUCACUCUUUGGUCUCCUCCCCCAGUCAAUAAGAUUAAGGUGAAUGUUGAUGCGUGUUGGAGGAGGGACUCCUGUUGUGGUAAGAUUGGGACUGUGGCCCGUGAUUGGUUGUCAGGUUGCAGGGCGGUUAAAAGUGUAUGGAUGCAUUCAUCUUUGGUUAGGAUGGCUGAAGCUCUUGCAAUUCUGGAAGGGUGCUUGUUGGCUAAGUGUUUGCAAGUGCAGGAGGUGGUAAUUGAGUCGGACGCACAAGGGGUUAUUCGGUCCCUCAAUUCCCCUCAUUUGAGCUGUGAUGGGGACCUUCUCCCAAUUCUUAGCCGUAUCUUGGAUGUUGGGAGGAGUUUUCAUUCAUGCUCCUGGUCGUGGAUUCCACGAUCGGCAAAUAUGGCGGCGGAUUUUGUCGCAAUGAGCAUUUCACCGGAGAUGUGCAGCUUUGGCUGGGUUGUUCAACCUCCAUCUUCGUUAGUUGGCAUUUUGAACAAAGAUGGUCUUCCAUGUCCUCCUUUGUAAUUGGGGAUGGGUUGCACUGGUAAUAGGGCGACACUGGUACCUAUUGUGGUGGUGUCUUUCUUGAUCCUAUUUAUCUGUGUCUGUAUCUUCUGGGGUUGCGGAGGUUGUUUCUGCGUGUUGUUUGGCCUUGUGCCUCUCUGUUCUUUGAAUCUAUCCUUUUACCAAAAAAAAAAAAUUAGUCGGAGAGUUGAAGAUAGAAAAUUUAAUCAUGUCAGUAAUUCAUCGUGUUCAAUUUUCAUGCUUUGCCAUUCUUAUCCACUUUAUUACUUCUUUUGAUGUAAUCUGAAUUAUAUAUUUUUUUUCAUCUUCAUCAGGCACUUCUCUUUGGAAAGAAGCAUGUUUGGUAUUCAAUCCACCAUUUAAAUGGGAAAGAGGAAGUUCCCUCGUCACAUGGUUAAAGCCGUAGAGGCGGAGUUGAAAGUCAAGAGGAGGGGGAAAUAAACUUUAUUAAGAUAAAGAGGAAUGGACAAUAACAUGAAAAGCUGAGAAUGAACAGUCGAAUACUGAGUUGAAUCCACUGCUACCACCCAACAAAUCCAAGUGCUGAAAUUUCAAUUAUUGUUCUUCGAGGAGGCCUUGGACAUUAGUAAAGAACAAAUGGUUGAUUUGCUGAGGAAGUAUGAAUCACUAGAACUAAAGACAUGAGCCUUAGAGUCUUGUAAUAUAUUGUACAAACAUGUAUCUUUUGUUUUUUUAUUGAUUAUAAAGAUAUAAAUAUGUUUUGAUAUAGAAGUAAAUAUAUUUUAAUAUAUUUUAUACGUUUAACAUGGUUUUAGACCCGCGGCAUCGCGCGGGCUAA
Malus domestica (apple) is the source of this 2691-nucleotide non-coding RNA. Lineage: Eukaryota; Viridiplantae; Streptophyta; Magnoliopsida; Rosales; Rosaceae. The record is from RefSeq and is a predicted model, not a curated record.